CCUACGGGAGGCAGCAGUGAGGAAUAUUGGUCAAUGGGCGCGAGCCUGAACCAGCCAAGUAGCGUGAAGGAUGACUGCCCUACGGGUUGUAAACUUCUUUUAUAAAGGAAUAAAGUGCGGCACGUGUGCCUUUUUGUAUGUACUUUAUGAAUAAGGAUCGGCUAACUCCGUGCCAGCAGCCGCGGUAAUACGGAGGAUCCGAGCGUUAUCCGGAUUUAUUGGGUUUAAAGGGGGCGUAGAUGGGUUGUUAAGUCAGUUGUGAAAGUUCGCGGCUCAACCGUAAGAUUGCAAUUGAUACUGUCAGCCUUGAGUACAGUUGAGGUAGGCGGAAUUCGUGGUGUAGCGGUGAAAUGCUUAGAUAUCACGAAGAACUCCGAUUGCGAAGGCAGCUUACUAAACUGCGACUGACAUUGAUGCUCGAAAGUGUGGGUAUCGAACAGGAUUAGAUACCCCAGUAGUC
Molecule: ribosomal RNA, 460 nt
Filed under: uncultured bacterium
Lineage: Bacteria
Description: partial 16S ribosomal RNA
Rfam family: Bacterial small subunit ribosomal RNA
Source: RNAcentral